This is a long non-coding RNA of Felis catus (domestic cat), 2499 nucleotides long. RefSeq lists it as uncharacterized. The transcript has 2 exons. The record is from RefSeq and is a predicted model, not a curated record. Lineage: Eukaryota; Metazoa; Chordata; Mammalia; Carnivora; Felidae.
AUCAGCCCAGAGCCCGCCGCGGGGCUCGAACCCACGGACCGCGAGAUCGUGACCUGAGCUGAAGUCAGACGCUUAACCGACUGCGCCACCCAGGCGCCCCUAGAGUAAACUUUCAAUUGAACCAACCCACCUUGAUAAAGUAGAGCCAUGGCAAGAAUAAGCUACAGCUGUAAAAUCCAGACUAAUUUCUACUUGAGUUGAGGCAGAGGGGGAAAAAAAUGUGUUUUUGCUAAACUAACUAUCUACAUUUGGGUAUACGUUAUCUUAGGGCAAAGGCCAACAGGCGGUGCAAUCCCAUUCACAAUAGGACCAAAAAAAAAAAAAAUCACUGAAAAUAAUUCGUAACAGUGAAUGAUCUGUCUUUGCUAACAUGCUCUUUGUUGAAAACAAAUAUUAACCUUCUAACACUUCUUUCGAAGCAACGACUUCAGGGCAUUUUCAGACCAGGUUAAAGAUGCACGAGGUGGCCGUGUUGCCAGCCCGAGGCCACAUUCAAAGAAAAGCUAGGGCUCAAACUUGCCACUUCCUCUCUUCUCUUCCCCGCGGCUGCGUCUUUGCCUGGCACUCGGCUCCUCCGAAAGCAGGUUUCCCAGCCGUGUUUCCAGGUUAAAAACUCAGAACCUCAAUUCAUCUGUGAGCAUAUGGAUCACAUCCUCGGAUAACUACACCAUGGUGAGACGGGAGAAGGGGCCGCCCGGCCUCUGACCAGCUUCCUGUUUGAGAUGAGCCUUCUGCUGCGGAUAACGUCCGUGAGAAGGAGUGCUAACCACGACGCCAUGGAUGCCAUGACAGCAAGGCCUUUCUUCGCGGCUCCCCAUGGUGAUCAGGGCCCAGGACGUUGACCAGGAUCGGCCAACAAGGUGGCUACCGCCUGGGUUUUGGGUUUGCAGCGGGAGGCACGAAGACGAAAGAAGUUUCAGCAGCAGCAGAAGCCAUAAGCCUGGCGCUGGCACUUUGUGGCCGUGCCCAGCCGUGGGACCUCUGGCCGCAGUGUCCUGCUGAGGAAAGUUCUUCUUCUUCCACAAGCCUUUGGUUUUCAGCCGGGUUUCCAAGUCUGAUUCGUCAGCUCCUGUCAGUUCUGGAGGCCAGAGGUAUUUCUCCAGUAACUUCCAGUUGGGGUUGACACAGCCAGAGCUGGUGCAGUUCCGGCAGCCAGAGACCCUGACCCGUCUGCGAGGAAACAGAUUUGAAGGCCAAAGAGCUUGUUCAGGGACCCCAGCUAACAAGUAGCCAUGUUCUGGCUGAGAAAUCGGUGCUGUUACCUUGAUUCCGUGCUUCCCAAAGAAUUGGAAAGAGUUGGAGAAGACGAAUGAGCGUCGGGUACGGGUCAGAGCAGGGCUUGAAGACCGGCACCUAUAUGAACGCUUACCCCCCCAAACCCACAUUCAGUAACACCCAUAAAUGAAUGUAUCUGCUCUAUGCCAGGGACUCUGCUAUGUUCAAAUAGUAUUUCAGUUAAUCCUCAGACGGGGGGACAUUAUUUUCUCCACUGGGUGGAAAAACUGAGGCUGGCAGGGGUUUGUAUUAUAAUAAGUGUUAGUGCUGGGUGUGAACCGGGGUCUCCAGACAAGGAGGCUGGAGCUCAUUCAUUAAGCCACAGCUCCCUUGCUGUGACAUUUACUCAAUCAAUCGAUGUUUUCUCCACUGCCGAUUUUCCAUUAACCCCACUGUGGCCCCAGCACGACCUCAUCAAUGUGUUCUUGAUGGCAUGCUUCCUUGCGUGUGGUCUUAACCCUGGGUCCCAGAGUGUUAUCAUCUGUCUCUGUUCCUUUAGACUGGGAGCCUCCAGAGCACAGGGCCAGGCCUUCCCACUAAGGAUAUUCCUUCCGGAACAUACGUCUCUGAUGUCCACGCGGGGCUCCGCCAUGGCAGGCCACCGGCCUGGGGUCCGUUGACUGGCCAACCGAAUCACUGUAUCCAGAGGAGAGAAGGGCUUCCUCUUGGCUACAGCGCUCCCAACACUGUAAGAUGCGAGUUUGUCCUCCUCUUCUGUUCAGCCCUGCCUACCCCCACCUCCCUUACAGCUUCAAGGGAAAUCAUGCCUUUGCUUACUGGACUGUAAAAUGGAGCUGAAAAUCUUCAUUGGCAGAAUAAAUACCAGAUGUCUUGCAGUCUUCUGAGGCAGAACCCUUGCCCAGACCUGGCUCCUGAUGGCCGACGAAUACGCUGUCAUUUGUGUUUUGGAAUUAAGAAAACUGAGUUCCCACGUUUCCUACUGUCACAAGGAGCAGCGAAUUGAAUCGGUGCCAUUGUAAGCUCGAUGGUUGUUGCAUAGAUAAAGCCCUCAUUAAGUCCCUCAAGAGAAGAAAAGAAUUUUAUUUUGAAGAUAGAGGAGUUGGGGGGGGGGUGCUUCUUGCUUGUCAGCAGUUAUAACAACAAAACAGUAAAUGGAGGAAAUAAUUAAAUAACCGCACUUUCCCCCCCCACCCCCCCACACCUCGUCAAGGGGCUGGGUGAGUUUUUAAUUAGUGCUUCGUUUUCAAUAAAUCUGUAUCUGUA